Sorghum bicolor (sorghum) is the source of this 2162-nucleotide long non-coding RNA. RefSeq lists it as uncharacterized. The transcript is spliced from 4 exons. The record is from RefSeq and is a predicted model, not a curated record. Lineage: Eukaryota; Viridiplantae; Streptophyta; Magnoliopsida; Poales; Poaceae.
UCAAGUGCCUUCUGCGGCCGGGGUAGCGCCGCCUAGGAAACGUCUCCUCCUCGCUACCGCUGCCGUUUCCGUCACUCCUAGUCCUAGGGGGUGUAUCUACCGGAGAUAAAAGGAGAGAGGACCUAUUCUUUCCUCACAAAUUUAUUUCUAGUUGCUUAGGUUUAGUUCAAAUAAUUUUUUUUGAUAAAAUUAGAUAUUGCAGGUGUCAAUUUUAUCAGGCGACAGUCAAUCUGCCUCCUUUAUCAACGGAGGGGGUGCUUUAGGGCGUUCCCAAGGAGAACAGCUACUUCAGAUUAUUGAUCUCAUCGUGAAUGGUCGUGGGAAAAAAAAUCAAAGUUUCAAGGUAAUAUGAACGCAGGAAGAGCACACGCUCCAGGCACUGCGAUCAUGCCAUGGCGCAAAGUUGAUCCAGAGAGAGUCCGAAUGCAGCGCAGGGUUGGGCGCAACCGCGCAAGGCUGCAAGGAGUAGAGAUUCAGGACUCUAGAGCAGGCGCGCCAUCUGCUCGACAGAAUGCCUGUGCUGAACACGGCACGGAAGGACCCCUUUUUCUUGGAGCUGAAAUGUGUGCAGUUCUUUUCCUUUGAGUGAACAAUGGCAGCGAAUUGACCAUAUUCAUAUGUGGAAAUAUAUGUAAAGUAAAAUGAUUACUUAGACCAAAUAUCUUUCCGCACCUUGAUUCAUCUUUUCUCAACCUAAUAAAGUCCUUUAUUGUUUUGUUUAUCUGUUGUACUAUAACAAUAGUGAAAGUGCAAUUCAGAAUAUUUGCUAAAUAUAUGACCUUUUGCUAUCUUAACUUUAUCUUGUUGACUGGAUGAACGUCUGAAGCUCGACAUAUGGUCACAUUAAUGACUCAAAGAAGAAUCAGGCAUAUAAUCUCAUGAACUUUUAAUCUUUCUAGUGACCUUGAGCCAUAUCUGCAGAAAAGGCACUCCUCUGUUUUGUUGUUUUUUGAGGGCAAAGAGGCUGUUUAUGUCAUUAUCUGUCCCAUUGUCGGUCUGAACUGAACUCGGGUGUCGCUGUCACGGAUGUCUCAAAUGAGGUGUGAAAUCAACCCGUGUCUAACGGGCUGUGUUCCUCUCUUGUGCAACCAUUUGUUCUGCCCGUGAUAUCUUGUUAGUAUGAGACAUCCGGCAGCAUGCUCAGCAGUAAAAUGACCAAGGCAUGUGCCCCUACAGUUGAAAGCAGAGUAGCAUUUCUUUCCUCUUCUCCUUUCGUUCAUGAUCAGAGGAAUUACACUUUGGAAAAAGAUUAUUGGGAGACAAUUCCAGCAAAUGAUACAUGAGCUUUGGCAUAGCUUAUCGGGCUGGUAAUUCGCUGUUCUUCAGCGAUAAAUUCUUCUAGCAGCAUGCACUGUUAUGAAUUAUGUUUUUACACAUGAUGAUAUUCUAGUUAUCUACCUGUUCUUUUCCAGACUGAAUGAUCUGUACCGUUUACAACCCCACUACCCCAGUGACAAACGGGGAUCUUUCUGCUGGUUCGACGUCAUUUUCUCCUUGGAAUAUAUUUUUUUUUUAAAAGAGAGAAGAGAAUUCGCCUCAGCUUCCAGCAACGCACUGCCAUUCCUGUGAAGCCGAUAAGGCGAAGGCAAGAAUAAAGAAGUUAAUUGCGGAGGAAGCAACGGAGAGAUGGGUGGGUACAUGUACAGUGGCAUCAGGUUUCUCUUGCUCCACCAUUUAUGGGAAAAAGGCCCGAAUGAGUGCUCCGGUGAAACUCGCUUUGAGGCCAUGGCAUUUUUGCCUCGAAUAGCAGCAGCGCUGCGCAUCGCUCCUUUGCCAAAGGCUCUCGGCCGGCCUCCCGUUUACCGCCGCUCUCUUCAAGCGCGCGUCACCGUCACCGGAUGCAGAUGGUUCUCUGUCAAAGAAGCUGCGGUUGGUUGGUUUGGCGAUGGCAACGCCUGCAAAGAUAGCAGGUGCCAUCCUGUGGAUUGAUCUUGCAGAGUCUGCCCCCAGGCUGUUCUCCUUUUAUCUUUACAACAGCUCAUGUUAUCUUGUUGGUAUGAAUCAAACUCAAGUCUUGAUGCUCACAAGUUAAAAUGGCGUUACAUACAGCAUAUAUGUUUGUAAAAGAGGACAUUGUAGUUCUGUGCAGUGUUUUGUCUAUUUAAGCAAAAUCAGAAAUAUUGAUAUUAGAACUUGCGAUAUAAUACAUCAGUUUUAUACAA